This 304-nucleotide long non-coding RNA is filed under the name Elaeis guineensis (African oil palm). RNAcentral describes it as "long non-coding RNA (EGUI_LNC051531)". The record is from RNAcentral. Lineage: Eukaryota; Viridiplantae; Streptophyta; Magnoliopsida; Arecales; Arecaceae.
CUACUAAGGUCGAUAGAUUCCAUGUAGAUGCAUCCAACUCCAAAUAGUGAACUUGAACCUACAAUAGCCAACAUACACAGUAAGGACCUGAAUGGUAAGGGACCAAGAGAACGUGCAGUCAAACUAAGUAGCCUCGCUGUGAAUAGUCAAUACACCAUAGGUCAAAGGACUAGUCACACCACUGUAGCAUCCAGAAAACUGUGAUGAGUGAGUAGACAUCCAAGUAGUUUCUCGUGUUGGUCACACUCAGUACAAGUUGAUCUCUAACAACUACCGCACUCUCGUCCCAGUGUCUCUACACCAC